GUGCUCACAGUAGCAGCACAUACAGUAAAAUUAGAAUGAUACAGAGAAAAAUUAGCAUUGCCCCUGCAUGAAGAUGACAUACACACAAAUUCAUGGGGCAUUCCAUACUUUA
Small nuclear RNA from Mastomys coucha (southern multimammate mouse), 112 nucleotides. NCBI's taxonomy places the organism in Eukaryota, Metazoa, Chordata, Mammalia, Rodentia, Muridae. The record is from RefSeq and is a predicted model, not a curated record.